Molecule: ribosomal RNA, 459 nt
Filed under: uncultured bacterium
Lineage: Bacteria
Description: partial 16S ribosomal RNA
Rfam family: Bacterial small subunit ribosomal RNA
Source: RNAcentral
CCUACGGGAGGCAGCAGUGAGGAAUAUUGGUCAAUGGGAGAGAUCCUGAACCAGCCAAGCCGCGUGAGGGAAGACGGCCCUAUGGGUUGUAAACCUCUUUUGUCGGAGAACAAAACCCGGGACGAGUCCCGGACUGCGUGUAUCCGAAGAAAAAGCAUCGGCUAACUCCGUGACAGCAGCCGCGGUAAUACGGAGGAUGCGAGCGUUAUCCGGAUUUAUUGGGUGUAAAGGGUGCGUAGGCGGUCUGUUAAGUCAGUGGUAAAAUUGCGGGGCUCAACCCCGUCGAGCCGUUGAAACUGGCAGACUUGAGUUGGCGAGAAGUACGCGGAAUGCGCGGUGUAGCGGUGAAAUGCAUAGAGAUCGCGCAGAACUCCGAUUGCGAAGGCAGCGUACCGGCGCCAGACUGACGCUGAGGCACGAAAGCGUGGGGAGCGAACAGGAUUAGAUACCCCAGUAGUC